This 492-nucleotide ribosomal RNA is filed under the name uncultured bacterium. Its description in RNAcentral is "partial 16S ribosomal RNA". It matches the Rfam family "Bacterial small subunit ribosomal RNA", at positions 29 to 507 of the family's 1533-position model. The record is from RNAcentral.
AGUGAACGCUGGCGGUAGGCCUAACACAUGCAAGUCGAACGGCAGCACAGUAAGAGCUUGCUCUUACGGGUGGCGAGUGGCGGACGGGUGAGGAAUACAGCGGAAUCUACUUUUUCGUGGGGGAUAACGUAGGGAAACUUACGCUAAUACCGCAUACGACCUACGGGUGAAAGCAGGGGAUCUUCGGACCUUGCGCGAUUGAAUGAGCCGAUGUCGGAUUAGCUAGUUGGCGGGGUAAAGGCCCACCAAGGCGACGAUCCGUAGCUGGUCUGAGAGGAUGAUCAGCCACACUGGAACUGAGACACGGUCCAGACUCCUACGGUAGGCAGCAGUGGGGAAUAUUGGACAAUGGGCGCAAGCCUGAUCCAGCCAUACCGCGUGGGUGAAGAAGGCCUUCGGGUUGUAAAGCCCUUUUGUUGGGAAAGAAAAGCAGCAGGUUAAUACCCCGCUGUUCUGACGGUACCCAAAGAAUAAGCACCGGCUAACUUCGUG